Molecule: ribosomal RNA, 376 nt
Filed under: uncultured bacterium
Lineage: Bacteria
Description: bacterial SSU rRNA
Rfam family: Bacterial small subunit ribosomal RNA
Source: RNAcentral
UAAUACGAAGGGGGCUAGCGUUGCUCGGAAUGACUGGGCGUAAAGGGCGCGUAGGCGGUUCGGACAGUCAGGCGUGAAAUUCCCGGGCUUAACCUGGGGGCUGCGCUUGAUACAUCUGGACUUGAGUGAGGAAGAGGGUCGUGGAAUUCCCAGUGUAGAGGUGAAAUUCGUAGAUAUUGGGAAGAACACCGGUGGCGAAGGCGGCGACCUGGUCCUUGACUGACGCUGAGGCGCGAAAGCGUGGGGAGCAAACAGGAUUAGAUACCCUGGUAGUCCACGCCGUAAACGAUGUGUGCUGGAUGUUGGGUGACCUAGUCACUCAGUGUCGUAGCUAACGCGGUAAGCACACCGCCUGGGGAGUACGGCCGCAAGGUUG